CUGACAUCACAUCAGUUCAUGCGCAUGUGGCAAGCAUUUCUCUCGGUGUCUAAACCUAACGGAGCUUCGCGAUAACGCAGAAGAAGGUUGAUAACGGAAACACUUCACUGUCAGAUCGUCAGGAUGAGCCUUUCAUCAGUGUUUGUGUUCUUUCUUCCUUUUAUCUGUGAGGGGUUGGGAGCGCUGAUCCAAACCACUGUGGGGGCAGAUGUCGAGUUUCCGCUCUCAGAGGAGUGCAGGAAGGGAGAAGGCACACUGUAUCAGCGGCUGGAUGAUGCCAGCACUCAGCUCAUCGCAUCUCUAAGUGGUUACUGGAAGCCAGGGCGAGAUUACACUGACCGUGUGGUCGUAGGACGCGAUUGUUUAAUCUUAACAAAUGCUAACUUCAAUGACAACGGGCAUUAUGAGUUUACCUGCAACAGGAAACACUUGGAAGCUUACAAGCUGGAGGUAUUUGUGCCCUCUGAAGUUGCUGUAUCCGAGGGUGGGGAUGCCAUCCUCCCGUGUCGCUCCGUCACAGCGGGCCAGUCGGUGAAGUCUGCGCGCUGGAGGAGAAACGGGGAAGUACUGCUGGAGCUGAAUGGUCGGACGGGGGAAAUCACAUACGGAAAUCACUUUAACAGAAGCCGGGUAUCGAUACCAUCUGACUGGGACCAACGGGCAGACCUGUCCCUCAUCAUAAAGGGAGCUCAGCAACAAGACGGAGGAGUUUAUUACUGUGAUGUAGAGAAGGCCGAGAAACACCGCUCUGCUGUGCGCCUGCGAGUGCGCAAACCACCGGUUCUUUUGGGGCUGGAGAGAGAAGACCAAGGGUGUACAUGCAUGAAGAGAGCAGAGGAGACAGUGCCCGAAACAGUCCACUAAAUGACCAAUCAUUUAUAAUCAGGAGGAAAGCACAUCUCUAAAAAUUGCCCUGCCAAGUCUUCUGAUGUUAUACUGCCUGUAAAAAUAAAUAGAAAUAGCUUUUGUAGUGCAUUACUUUUAGUUCCAAAGUCCAAACCCAAACCUUUAUUUCACUGUGUAAUGAAAGUCUUCAUGGCAAAAUAAACAGCAGAUAUCUGCACACUGCUAACUUACAGUAUAAAGAUAAAAGAAUACACACAUACAGAGAUUUCUUUCUGACUUUUGACUUAUUGAUUUAUUUGUGUCUUCUUCUUGGCAGCUCUUCACUUGGUACAGUUGAAGGUCUGUCCUGAGAAAAAGGUAUAGCUUGGUUAUAACAACAGCUAAUAAUCAAUUUUUAUGAUUUCUUCAUUGAUCUGUAAGAGGCUGGAGCUUAUGGUUAAUGAAUGCAACAGUCUGGGUCGAGUAGUUGAAUUUAUUAUCUUUGUGUUGAGGACAAAAGAGUCUUCAGGCCUCCAAAAGACCUUUUAAAGGUUCCAGGUGCCACCAAGUGUGACUGAGCAGGAGACUGAAAGUAGAUAUAAAUUUUCAUUUUAGAUUAUUGGCUGUAGGGUAAGGUUUCUAUUAUGAUUUAAUGACAACAAGUUUAGUUUAGUUCACUAGUUUAUUUGAUGAGGACACCCUGUGCACUGCUGUGGUUUGUGGGUCAGUCGGUUGCAGUCAAUGAAGGGCUGCUAGUAAAUACGAGAGGCUGUUGCUGAAACCAUAAACCACCAGCCAGUAAAGAUUUACAGUUUUAUGUUCCUUUAUUUGUUUGCUUUAUGGUUGUUUACAGGCCACAGUGAUAAAAUGUGAUGAAUUUGCUUGCACGAUGAACCCACUACAGUUCAACUUCAAACACCCUCAGAGGUUCAAGCUGGACUUCUUUCUAUGUCUAGAACUUUAAUGGAUUCUGUUUUUUGUUUAAUAACUGUGACUUAUACUUUUUCCAUAUAAUGAAGUUACACAUACAUUCUGUCUUUUGCAUCAAGUUCACUUUUAAUAAUUCCACCACGCAGUAAAUCUGUGUGAUUUUGAUGUGUGGCUAACUCAGCUUCUUUUAGAAAUAGUGACUCAGUGGAGUCUGACACUCAGACAAUCAGCCAAUAGAGUUUCUGGUGAAGCUGGAGCCAAAUAACUGCUUUGAAACUGAUUCUUAGAGUCCAGAGUGAACCGUCAGUGUCCUUAAACAAUUUGUUUAUUGCCCACAUGAUAUUUCCUGCAUGUUUGUAGAGUUUGAACAAUAAAUAUAUUCAUUUACAGUGA
Molecule: long non-coding RNA, 2148 nt
Organism: Oreochromis niloticus (Nile tilapia)
Lineage: Eukaryota; Metazoa; Chordata; Actinopteri; Cichliformes; Cichlidae
Exons: 3
Source: RefSeq, a predicted model, not a curated record